RNAcentral lists this ribosomal RNA (429 nucleotides) under Chloroflexota bacterium. Its description in RNAcentral is "Chloroflexi bacterium partial 16S ribosomal RNA". It matches the Rfam family "Bacterial small subunit ribosomal RNA", at positions 355 to 776 of the family's 1533-position model. The record is from RNAcentral. Lineage: Bacteria; Bacillati; Chloroflexota.
UGGGGAAUAUUGCACAAUGGGCGCAAGCCUGAUGCAGCCAUGCCGCGUGUGUGAAGAAGGCCUUCGGGUUGUAAAGCACUUUCAGCGGGGAGGAAGGCGUUAAGGUUAAUAACCUUGGCGAUUGACGUUACCUGCAGAAGAAGCACCGGCUAACUCCGUGCCAGCAGCCGCGGUAAUACGGAGGGUGCAAGCGUUAAUCGGAAUUACUGGGCGUAAAGCGCACGCAGGCGGUCUGUCAAGUCGGAUGUGAAAUCCCCGGGCUCAACCUGGGAACUGCAUUCGAAACUGGCAGGCUAGAGUCUUGUAGAGGGGGGUAGAAUUCCAGGUGUAGCGGUGAAAUGCGUAGAGAUAUGGAGGAAUACCGGUGGCGAAGGCGGCCCCCUGGACAAAGACUGACGCUCAGGUGCGAAAGCGUGGGGAGCAAACAGG